This 1346-nucleotide ribosomal RNA is filed under the name uncultured bacterium. Its description in RNAcentral is "partial 16S ribosomal RNA". It matches the Rfam family "Bacterial small subunit ribosomal RNA", at positions 28 to 1381 of the family's 1533-position model. The record is from RNAcentral.
GACGAACGCUGGCGGCGUGCUUAACACAUGCAAGUCGAACGGAAAGGCCCUGCUUUUGUGGGGUGCUCGAGUGGCGAACGGGUGAGUAACACGUGAGUAACCUGCCCUUGACUUUGGGAUAACUUCAGGAAACUGGGGCUAAUACCGGAUAGGAGCUCCUGCUGCAUGGUGGGGGUUGGAAAGUUUCGGCGGUUGGGGAUGGACUCGCGGCUUAUCAGCUUGUUGGUGGGGUAGUGGCUUACCAAGGCUUUGACGGGUAGCCGGCCUGAGAGGGUGACCGGCCACAUUGGGACUGAGAUACGGCCCAGACUCCUACGGGAGGCGGCAGUGGGGAAUAUUGCACAAUGGGCGGAAGCCUGAUGCAGCAACGCCGCGUGCGGGAUGACGGCCUUCGGGUUGUAAACCGCUUUCGCCUGUGACGAAGCGUGAGUGACGGUAAUGGGUAAAGAAGCACCGGCUAACUACGUGCCAGCAUCCGCGGUGAUACGUAGGGUGCGAGCGUUGUCCGGAUUUAUUGGGCGUAAAGGGCUCGUAGGUGGUUGAUCGCGUCGGAAGUGUAAUCUUGGGGCUUAACCCUGAGCGUGCUUUCGAUACGGGUUGACUUGAGGAGGGUAGGGGAGAAUGGAAUUCCUGGUGGAGCGGUGGAAUGCGCAGAUAUCAGGAGGAACACCAGUGGCGAAGGCGGUUCUCUGGGCCUUUCCUGACGCUGAGGAGCGAAAGCGUGGGGAGCGAACAGGCUUAGAUACCCUGGUAGUCCACGCUGUAAACGGUGGGUACUAGGUGUGGGGUCCAUUCCACGGGUUCCGUGCCGUAGCUAACGCUUUAAGUACCCCGCCUGGGGAGUACGGCCGCAAGGCUAAAACUCAAAGGAAUUGACGGGGCCCCGCACAAGCGGCGGAGCAUGCGGAUUAAUUCGAUGCAACGCGUAGAACCUUACCUGGGUUUGACUUGGAUCGGGAGUGCUCAGAGAUGGGUGUGCCUCUUUUGGGGUCGGUUCACAGGUGGUGCAUGGCUGUCGUCAGCUCGUGUCGUGAGAUGUUGGGUUAAGUCCCGCAACGAGCGCAACCCUUGUUCACUGUUGCCAGCACGUUAUGGUGGGGACUCAGUGGAGACCGCCGGGGUCAACUCGGAGGAAGGUGGGGAUGACGUCAAGUCAUCAUGCCCCUUAUGUCCAGGGCUUCACGCAUGCUACAAUGGCUGGUACAGAGAGUGGCGAGCCUGUGAGGGUGAGCGAAUCUCGGAAAGUCGGUCUCAGUUCGGAUUGGGGUCUGCAACUCGACCUCAUGAAGUCGGAGUCGCUAGUAAUCGCAGAUCAGCAACGCUGCGGCGAAUACGUUCCCGGGGCU